AAACUGGUAGACUAGAGUGCAGGAGAGGUGAGUGGAAUUCCAUGUGUAGCGGUAAAAUGCGUAGAUAUAUGGAGGAACACCAGUGGCGAAGGCGGCUCACUGGCCUGUUACUGACGCUGAGGCUCGAAAGCGUGGGGAGCAAAUAGGAUUAGAUACCCUAGUAGUCCACGCCGUAAACGAUGGAUACUAAGUGUUGGUGAAAAAUCAGUGCUGUAGUUAACGCAAUAAGUAUCCCGCCUGGGGAGUAUGCGCGCAAGCGUCAAACUCAAAGGAAUUGACGGGGGCCCGCACAAGCGGUGGAGUAUGUGGUUUAAUUCGAAGCAACGCGAAGAACCUUACCAGGUCUUGACAUAUAGUUAAAAAGCACAGAGAUGUGUAAUAGUUAUAGCUAUACAGGUGGUGCAUGGUUGUCGUCAGCUCGUGUCGUGAGAUGUUGGGUUAAGUCCCGUAACGAGCGCAACCCUUGUCUUUAGUUACCAGCAUUCAGUUGGGGACUCUAGAGAUACUGCCGGUGAUAAACCGGAGGAAGGUGGGGAUGACGUCAAAUCAUCAUGCCCUUUAUGUCCUGGGCUACACACGUGCUACAAUGGUCGAUACAACGAGGAGCAACACAGCGAUGUGAAGCAAAUCUCUUAAAGUCGAUCUCAGUUCGGAUUGCAGGCUGCAACUCGCCUGCAUGAAGCCGGAGU
RNAcentral lists this ribosomal RNA (689 nucleotides) under uncultured bacterium. Its description in RNAcentral is "bacterial SSU rRNA". It matches the Rfam family "Bacterial small subunit ribosomal RNA", at positions 630 to 1332 of the family's 1533-position model. The record is from RNAcentral.